Molecule: ribosomal RNA, 468 nt
Filed under: uncultured bacterium
Lineage: Bacteria
Description: bacterial SSU rRNA
Rfam family: Bacterial small subunit ribosomal RNA
Source: RNAcentral
ACCUACGGGGGGCAGCAGUAGGGAAUCUUCCGCAAUGGACGAAAGUCUGACGGAGCAACGCCGCGUGAGUGAUGAAGGUUUUCGGAUCGUAAAACUCUGUUGUUAGGGAAGAACAAGUACGAGAGUAACUGCUCGUACCUUGACGGUACCUAACCAGAAAGCCACGGCUAACUACGUGCCAGCAGCCGCGGUAAUACGUAGGUGGCAAGCGUUGUCCGGAAUUAUUGGGCGUAAAGCGCGCGCAGGCGGUCCUUUAAGUCUGAUGUGAAAGCCCACGGCUCAACCGUGGAGGGUCAUUGGAAACUGGGGGACUUGAGUACAGAAGAGAAGAGUGGAAUUCCACGUGUAGCGGUGAAAUGCGUAGAGAUGCGGAGGAACACCAGUGGCGAAGGCGACUCUUUGGUCUGUAACUGACGCUGAGGCGCGAAAGCGUGGGGAGCAAACAGGAUUAGAUACCCGCGUAGUCCG